UUUCCCUCAGGAUAGCUAGAGCCCAUGAACGAGUUCUAUUGGGUAAAGCCAAUGAUUAGAGGCAUCGGGAGCGCAACGCCCUCGGCCUAAUCUCAAACUUGAAAUAGGUAGGACGGUGCAGUUGCUUUGUUGAGCUGCGCCAUGGAAUCGAGAGCUCCA
This 159-nucleotide non-coding RNA is filed under the name Prunus persica (peach). RNAcentral's name for it is "rRNA LSU_rRNA_eukarya". It matches the Rfam family "Eukaryotic large subunit ribosomal RNA", at positions 967 to 1124 of the family's 3401-position model. Lineage: Eukaryota; Viridiplantae; Streptophyta; Magnoliopsida; Rosales; Rosaceae. The record is from Rfam by way of RNAcentral.